Long non-coding RNA from Thalassophryne amazonica, 3944 nucleotides. RefSeq lists it as uncharacterized. The transcript has 3 exons. Lineage: Eukaryota; Metazoa; Chordata; Actinopteri; Batrachoidiformes; Batrachoididae. The record is from RefSeq and is a predicted model, not a curated record.
AAAAAAAAAAAAAAUGCUUUUUAAAAAUCGAUUCUUGGACAUUUUGGAUUGAUUCAGAAUCGUAAUAAAUAAGAAUCGCGAUUCGGACGUGAAUUGAUUUUUUUUCCCCGGCACCCCUAACACUUAGUGAACCUCAGAUCGAAAUACCAAAGGAAAAGAUAUUUUUUGUCGCUUCCUGCAAAAGGAAUUAGUUUUCUGUAGAAUCCCAAAAACCUAGCUAAAAACAUUCAAACUUAAUUUUCCUCAUCUGCAUUUAUUUUGUUUAACAAAAUGUUAAAUUGGUUCAAAUGUUACUUUAUUUCCAUAUGAAGUUGUAAAUGUGCCAAUGAUUGAUCAGGAUAGUCUAUGAAAGCCUUCAAAUAGACACUAUGGGCUAGUGCCCGGACCUUCUGAUAGAGUCCACGACAGGUGGCAUUUACACCCCAGUGCUCCAGUCUAGGCUGAUACAGUACCGAAUACCAAAUUAGGACGUUAAUCCUAAUUCCGAAGCACCAGACGUGGUCAUGAGAUGAACCUAGGUUACUGAUGCAGCAUUCCCACCUACUAACUAGGGCUGCCACAAACGACUAUUUUGAUAAUCGACUAGUCACCGAUUAAUUUUGUGAUUAGUUGACGAAUCGUUUCAUACGUAAAUUGCAGCUUAACACACCAGCAUGCAGCUACUCUUAUAUAACCAUCAUUAGCUUCAAGCUUGAAGUGUUUAAGCUACAUGCUAACUAAAAAUAAAGACAAUUAAGAUGAUAGUUCAUUCAUCUUUGACUUGGCAACAAAGUUGUUCAUUGAAGAGGAACAUUUUUGUAGCACUGUAACGUAGUGUUAUUCUUGUUCAAACAUGACAUCGCUGUUAUAACGUUACAGCAAACACAUAUGUGUGCUAAGGCCAAUUAAAUUGUCAUCCAUAAUGUUAAAGUUUACAGCUAAGUAAGUAGCUCACUAUAGACGUUAAUGCUAGUGGCUAAUUAGCCAAUUAGCUUACCGAGAUGACUGUGUCGCUGCGUCAGAAUCAGCCACAACUUGUUUCCUUCUCAGAUGAAGGCAGGUUCUGCCUUGCAGAUUUUGCAUUGCGCAUUUUUCUCUUUAAUUUGGUUAAAAUGCUCCCAAAUGUUUGAACUGAAUGUUUGAAUGUCUGGUGACAUCACGGCUGACCCCGAUUACCAAUAUUGCGCAUGUGCGUCAAGGACAGAAAGGCAGCAGAAGGUAUAGCAGCAGCUGUGAGAGGAAAACAAAGUUAAAAUAAAACAAUGACAUUAAUUAUUAAAUUAGUCACCAAGGAUUUUGAUAGUUGACCUAAUUGUGACUAGUCAACUAAUUGUGGCAGCCCUACUACUAACCACUACCCCACUAAGUCCCCUAGUUAGCAAGAAUAGUUAUGAUAGAAUGGUGGCAUGAGCGGUUAGUGAGCUUGCUUCCAAAACAGAACAGAAGGUCCUCGGUUCAAGGCCACCUGUGCCCCAGUCUCCAUGUACAACUCCACUGUACAUCUGUGUAAAAUGUGUCACACCAGCAUGUGGACCUGUAUCAGAUCGUCUGUGGUGACCCCAGGUAAAAAGGAAGAAGCCAAAAGAAAUUACUUCGGACUCAUGGCUUCUUUUCAAUCAUAUGAUUGUGUCACUGUAUUAAAGUUGGACGUUGUCACGUUUCUGUUUGAUGCCUCGAGUUCCUUCGUUGUGAUCCUGUUCUUCUAGCCAUAUCGUACGUCUGUUAACUGUUGGUCUGAAGGCAGUAAAACGCUUGUGCAGUAACAGUCAUUCUUGCCUAUGCUGGAUUACGGUUAGCCCAGAGUGGGCCAAGUCUACCUCCAUCACUCAGGCACACUGAAGGAAAUUAUUUUGUUUGUUUGCUUUGACACAUCAAAUACUCGAUGCUUUUCUGUUGUUUGGUACCACAUUUUUUUGACAUGUAUCCCCAUAUGGUUGUGCUGUAGUUGCUUCUUGAACUAUUCUGUUAACGCUUUUGGGGACUGUUUCAAAUGUUUGACUGUACUUUGAGCUGACUUAAGCUAUAUCUGGAAAGGUGCUACUAUGUGUAGUAUUCACUAACAAUGAACACGGGUUUGUUACCGUUAAAUAACGGUUGAGUGGAUGUUGCAGCUCAAACAUCUGCUGUUUGAUCAGAGGCUUCCAUUUGAGUCAAGAACCAAGGUUGAAUUGAUAAAAUUCUAUUUGUGGCUGUUCACAUUCUUGUAAAUCAUUUAAAUCUUGGUUUUGGGGUAAUUAUUGUGAGGUCACUUUAUUUCAGUGCUUAAAAAAUUUAGAAGCAACAAGCUGCAGAUGACCAGAACUGCUGUCAGUGGCUGUGUAGUGUAGCACAUCUUAUACUACAUGAUUAUUUAGUCCAUUUAAUGGGACCUAUUUAUUCCCCUUUUAUUGUACAUGACAUCAAAUUUUAAAAUAAACUACAUGCUCGAAUUUGAUCCCAAUCCUGCGUGCCAAUGAGUAUACUUGUCCUAAACUGUGCAAGGCCCUGCGCGCAAUGAUAUGCAGUGUUUGCGAAAAUGUUGCACAAUGUUCACAACUAGUUCACGCAAGUGGCAUGAAAUUUAUGCGUGCCAGAAAUUUUGAACAUUUUAAAAUUUUCUUUGGCACUGCCACGCAGCCUUGCAAAGUUUACACACAGUUUACAACAGUUUUGAACAUUUCAAAAUUUUCUUUGUGCACUGCCUUGCACAGUUUACGCAGUUUAUAACAAGUUUACUCAUUGGCACGCAAGAUUGCGUGUCAAUGCGAGGAUCAAAUUCAUGCAAGUGUCAAGAUGGCUUUAGGAUUCUUCACACUUACUUUACAAAACUAUACCCAAAUCCCCAUCUCAAAAUACAUUUUUGUCCAUCAGAACUCGGCCAUUAUGUGAAUCAGGACCAAAGUGCACCUAUGGAGAGUCAGUCAUGGGAUAACUGAAUGCUUACAUUUGAGCCUCAUUGGGACCUUGAUCCUGAUUAAUCGCCGCUGUUUUUUGAGUGCUAUGGAACGGGUGUUCAGUGAGAAAUGUUCAUUGUAGUCUGUACAAGCAGUUGUUCAGAUUUCAUCAAGCAUAAAAUAUCCAUUAUACCGGCUAAACUAGACCAUACUGGAGAUAAUUAGAGGCUCAUGCUGGUAGCAUUCGAGGGGUGGUUGAACAGUUUUGAGCCUGUCCCAGACAAAGUAGGGUGUGGUUCUCCAUCUUUUGCAUGCUGAGAAACCAACAUUUCUCUUGAGUGUGUGAAAUUUGAACUCACUGGGUUCAAUGUUGCAGAUAAAAGUGAGUGAGGGUGUGUCAGAUUGGCAAAACGGACAAAGCUGGUGGGCGUGCAGGGAUUCAGCGUCUCAUGAAAAAGGGAAUGUCUCCACAGAAGGUCCAUGAGGACGUGGUCAUGAUGUUAGGGGACGAUGUCCUGUCUUACGUUACAGUUAAACACUGGUCAGCUGAAUUCAAGAGGCACAGAACAAGCGCCGAAGGUGGAGCAUGACCAGGAAGAACUGCCACAUUGACCGAUAUGAUCCAGAAGAUCCAUGAUAUUGUCCUCGCUGACAGAAGAGUAAUUGGGUGUCACUUAACCAGUACUGUAGGAAUUUCCCUAAAGACACUUCAUUCAGUUCUGACAGAUGAACUGGGAAUGAUGAACCUAUCAGCGUGAUGGGUCCCAAGGCUUCUCACAGCCAACCUACAAGGUUCCAGAUGUCCAGGGAGACUCUUCAGCUUUUUGAGGCCGAUCCGGAUGACUUCAUGUGAUGAUUCGUGACUGUGGAUGAGUCACUGGGUCCAUCGCUUUGAACUUUGAGCCCAAACAACAGUUGAAGCAAUGGAAGCGUGUGGGUUCUUCUUCACAGAAGAAAGCCAAAGCUGUCUUAUCUGCUGGAAAAGACAGGACUUCUGUCUUCUGGGAUGCUGAGGGCAUCAUAAUGGUGGAGUAUCUCCAGAAGGGACAGACCAUCAAUGGGGCCCAUUCUGCUUCCCUUUGGUUAGCACUG